This is a long non-coding RNA of Astatotilapia calliptera (eastern happy), 500 nucleotides long. The record is from Ensembl. NCBI's taxonomy places the organism in Eukaryota, Metazoa, Chordata, Actinopteri, Cichliformes, Cichlidae.
GUCUCAGUUCUCAAGAAAAAAGUUGUCAGGUAUCAGACAAAAAAUUGUCAGGUCUCAGUUGUCAAGAAAAAAGUUGUCAGGUAUCAGACCAAAAAAUUGUCUGGUCACAGUUCUCAAGAAAAAAGUUGUCAGGUAUCAGACAAAAAAAUGUCAGGUCUCAGUUCUCAAGAAAAAAGUUGUCAGGUAUCAGACAAAAAAAUGUCAGGUCUCAGUUCUCAAGAAAAAAGUUGUCAGUUAUCAGACAAAAAUUGUCUGGUCACAGUUCUCAAGAAAAAAGUUGUCAGGUAUCAGAGAAAAAAAUGUCAGGUCUCAGUUGUCAAGAAAAAAGUUGUCAGUUAUCAGACAAAAAAUUGUCAGGUCUCAGUUCUCAAGAAAAAAGUUGUCAGGUAUCAGAACACAAGGUACCAGAGAGAAAAUCUUCCUGCAGGUGGCGGUGUUGUCAUGUCCCACCCUGUGUUGCCAACUUAGCGAAUUUGUCGCUAUAUUUAGCGAGUUUUCAG